AGAUUAAAAGAUUGAAAAAAUGAAAUAUAUAAUAUUUGGUAAAAAAAAUAGAAAAAGAACAAUGGUAAAACUAUCACAAAAAAAUUUUAUGUCUCCGUAUUAAUAUUUGAAUAUAAAUGAUAAUGUAGAAAUUAUGGAAAAAUAGACUACUUUAUUAAUAUAUUAGUAAAAACAUUGGCCUUAUAAAAACCACAAAAAAUUAGGUCCCUGUAUUAAAUAUAUGAGUAUAAAUAUAUCCUUUUAAAAUUAUUAAAAAAUAGGUAACCUUGUUAAUAUGUUAGUGAAAAUAUAGAUCCUACAUAAAUCAUCAAAAUAAUUAUGUCACCGUAUUAAAUAUGAGUAUAACCCGUAAAAUUGCAAAACAAAAUAGACAACUUAAUUAAUAUAUAAAUAAAAGUAUAAGCCCCGUAGAAAUCACAAAAAAAAAUCCAUAUUAAUAUAUGAGUAUUUUAUAGGUUCCGUAGAUGUUAUAAAAGAACGGACAAACAUAUUAAUAUGAGUAAAAAACAUAAGUCCCGCAUAAACCACACAAAAGAUCAGGUUAUCAUAUAUUAAUAUAUGAGUAUAAAUAUAAGUUCACAAAAAUUAGUUAAAAACUGUAAAUUUUAUUAAUAGGAGUAAAAAUAUAGGCCCUGCAUACGUGUAUGAUAUAAACUGUUGUUGUUUUGUUUGGCAUACCUUGUGCCAAUCAGGACUCAUUAUUAAUAAUAAAAUUCAUUUUAGUUUAUUCAAAAAAAAAAAACACAAGCACCGCAGAAAUCACACAAAAGAUAUAUGUCAAGAAUGAGCAACCUUAUUAAUAUAUUAAUAAAAAAAUAUAUGUCUCGUAAAAAUGAACAAAAUAAUUAGGUUCUUGUAUUAAUAUUUGAUCUAGUAUAACCCGCAAAAUUAUAAAAAAAGAAACAACUUUAUUAAUAUAUAUGAUUAAAAUUAUAAGUCUCGUAGAAAUCACAAAAAAAAAGGUUAUCUUAUUAAUUCAUGACUAUAAAUAUAUAUAGGUCCUACAUAAAUUAUUAAGGAAUAUGAAAUCUUAUUAAUAAGAGAAAAAACAUAUGCCACUUUUUGUUUUUUCAUAGUCGCCCCACAACAACAUAGUAAACCAUACUUUUUGCUUUCUAUUCUUGUUCAUCUUCCAAAGAGGGGUGAUUUUGGAUCAAUUUUGAUCUGAAAUCACCCCCUUUUGAUUGUUUUAUAUUUUUUUUUUAUUUAAAUAAGUGAUUUUCACACAUUCUUAUGUUUCAUUUGAGUUUUUUUUUGUUCUUGUUUGAUGUUGUUUUAAUCCCGUCUUAGUGCAGAAUUUUUUGUCUUGAGUUUGCGUCUUGGUACGGUGUUCGGUUUAAUUCCGUUGUAGUACGAUGUUUGUUUUGUUCAAAUUUGCAGAUUUGCUCCGAUUCAGACUCAGUGCAGAUUCACACGUAAUCUACUUACUUGAAUAAAUGAAUAUUGUUUGUUGUUAGUCUAAAAAAAAGAGGAAAAACAUAGGUCUCGUAGAAUUCACACGAAAGAUUAUGUCUCCAUAUUAAUAUAUAACUAUAACUCGUAAAAUUAU
This 1549-nucleotide long non-coding RNA is filed under the name Trifolium pratense (red clover). RNAcentral describes it as "long non-coding RNA (TPRA_LNC003279)". Lineage: Eukaryota; Viridiplantae; Streptophyta; Magnoliopsida; Fabales; Fabaceae. The record is from RNAcentral.